RNAcentral lists this unclassified non-coding RNA (828 nucleotides) under uncultured bacterium. Its description in RNAcentral is "partial contains 16S-23S ribosomal RNA intergenic spacer; may also contain 16S ribosomal RNA and 23S ribosomal RNA". The stretch from base 162 to 235 matches the Rfam family "tRNA". The record is from RNAcentral.
GCUAUCGGAUCGUUUUAGAAACAUCAGUGGCCAACAAUCGUCAGGAUUGUUGAGCUGCAUUGGCGGGAUUUCGCCGUCUUCGUUUCUCUUUCUUCGCGGACGAACACGCGCUGGGGCUGCAACCUUGCAGGAUCCCUGGUCCUUAACAGGAUAUGCGUUAGGGGCUUGUAGCUCAGUUGGUUAGAGCGCGCGCUUGAUAAGCGUGAGGUCGGAAGUUCAAGUCUUCCCAGGCCCACCACACUCAUCGGGUAAGCAUUCGUCUUCUGGUUACGGGGCCAUAGCUCAGCUGGGAGAGCGCGUGCUUUGCAAGCAUGAGGUCGUCGGUUCGAUCCCGUCUGGCUCCACCAGAUGGUUUGAUCACCAACGGCAUGAUGACCGUCGUCCGCGAAACAUCACUUCGCACCCACUAGUCCGGAUGGACGGUGUGGUUGCGUGAUUUCUGACAUCGUAAAGAGGAGAUCGAUCCGAGUUGGAUCGUGCAGCAAGCAAUUGUCGCGCGAUACUUCAUUAUCUCCGGAUCAUUUCGGCGCUUGCUUCGCCCUUCAAGGUCAAACUUGAGAGACGAUGCGAGUUGUAAAUGAUCCUUUUAGCGAAGCUUGACCGCCUCGCUAUCGGAACGAUCUUACGAAGCAAGCUGGUCUUUCUAAUCAUUGUCCGGCUGUGAGAUAGCGUUCAUCGAGGGCGCGUGCCGCAAGGCAGUUCUUACAGACAACAUUCUGCCGAGUGUGUGGACAUUGAUAAUGAGAGCAAUCAAGUGCCUUAAGGGUGUUCGGUGGAUGCCUUGGCGCUGAGAGGCGAUGAAGGACGUGCUACGCUGCGAUAAGCCGU